Chenopodium quinoa (quinoa) is the source of this 694-nucleotide long non-coding RNA. RefSeq lists it as uncharacterized. The record is from RefSeq and is a predicted model, not a curated record. The transcript has 2 exons. NCBI's taxonomy places the organism in Eukaryota, Viridiplantae, Streptophyta, Magnoliopsida, Caryophyllales, Amaranthaceae.
UUCAAACCGGUGGCAAAAAUAUUAAUCCCACCGGUUCAAACCGGUGGCUUUGUUAAAAAAAAAAAAACCCGGCCUUUUCUAAAACCCACCCCUUUUGUUCCUUCCUAUAUAUUAAACCUUUUUACCAAACCCAGCCCCCUCAUCUUCUCUCUCCUCCCCUUUUCUUUCUGAACUUAUCUCUCCUCACUCCUCACAGCUCCUCCAUACCCAUUUUCUCAUCUUUGUUCUCAGCUCAGUCCACCUUCAUUCUUUUUUCUCUCGUCCCCUCAUCCCCUCUGCUCUUCUUCUCUUAUCUUCCUCGCCUCCUCCCUCCUCUUCACCUCUUUUGAAAACUGCCGCCGCCGCCAGUUACUUUCGCCGCCUAAGGUUUUCUGGUCAAAUUCGACCAUGAAAACUCUAGAUCUAGAGUUUUCAUGGUCGAAUUUGACCUUUAUAACCCAAAUUCUAGAUAAUUUCGGGGGAUUUUUGGUGAAAUUCGAGGUCUUAAUUGAUGCAUCAAGAUUCAAGACAUGCAACAAGAUUCAAGACUUUGAUUUUGAAAAAUUGUUUUAGACGUAUUUUUUUUAUUUAUUAUUUUUUAUUGUACAAUAAUUUAAAGCUGAAUUUCAUUGUUUGAUUAUAAUUCAAUGUAAUUUUUUUAAUUUUUUUUAGUAUUUUACAAUAACAAUUUACAAUAACAAUUCUUUUGCGCUCA